This is a long non-coding RNA of Cyprinus carpio (common carp), 440 nucleotides long. NCBI's taxonomy places the organism in Eukaryota, Metazoa, Chordata, Actinopteri, Cypriniformes, Cyprinidae. The record is from Ensembl.
CAUUUAUCUCACAUACCUCCUGCUUCUAGAAGAUUCCUCCUGGAUAGCGGCAGUCUGAUGUCAAAACAACCGCCAUGCUGCAUCCUUAACCAAAUAACAUAAAUAAACCAAAAUUACUCAUUAGCGGUGGUUGCGAAGACAAACAUCACUGCAGUUUCUCGUACUAAGAGAUCGAGUCCCACCGUCCAGUGUCCAGCAGGGUCACAUAGUUCCCUUAUCAGGACAGACUGAAACUCUACUGUACUGACCACCUGUACUUCAGACGCUAAGAGAGAUCCUUGAGAACGAAUCUUCGAGGUGCUGUUGCAGCUUUUGGGCCACUGUGGUUCAUAAACAAUUACUGGUAAUGUUCUCGUAACCUAUUUUUAACAACAAAUGCAUAAAUCAGAUCAUCAUUUUUCAUCAUAGCUAUCUUUGUGGGCCAUCUUGGCACGCCUGGU